Molecule: transfer RNA, 87 nt
Filed under: Cordylochernes scorpioides
Lineage: Eukaryota; Metazoa; Arthropoda; Arachnida; Pseudoscorpiones; Chernetidae
Description: tRNA-Tyr
Rfam family: tRNA
About the family: Transfer RNA (tRNA) molecules are approximately 80 nucleotides in length. Their secondary structure includes four short double-helical elements and three loops (D, anti-codon, and T loops).
Source: RNAcentral
CCCUCGAUAGCUCAGUUAGCAGAGCGGAGGACUGUAGAUGUUACAACGGUGAUCCUUAGGUCGCUGGUUCAAAUCCGGCUUGAGGGA